AUACCAUGGUGACAGCAUUUUCAUAAUAACUCAUUGAAUCGCACUCAUGCCUCAUACAGAGAUUCGUCAUCAAGUUGUUAAAAUGUAGUGAUCUCAUUCUGAAGUUU
Gossypium raimondii (Peruvian cotton) is the source of this 107-nucleotide non-coding RNA. NCBI's taxonomy places the organism in Eukaryota, Viridiplantae, Streptophyta, Magnoliopsida, Malvales, Malvaceae. The record is from Rfam.